GUAGGUGGCAAGCGUUGUCCGGAAUUAUUGGGCGUAAAGCGCGCGCAGGCGGUUCUUUAAGUCUGAUGUGAAAGCCCACGGGCUCAACCGUGGAGGGUCAUUGGAAACUGGAGAACUUGAGUACAGAAGAGGAAAGCGGAAUUCCACGUGUAGCGGUGAAAUGCGUAGAGAUGUGGAGGAACACCAGUGGCGAAGGCGGCUUUCUGGUCUGUAACUGACGCUGAGGCGCGAAAGCGUGGGGGGGCAAACAGGAUUAGAUACCCUGGUAGUCCACGCCGUAAACGAUGAGUGCUAAGUGUUAGGGGGUUUCCGCCCCUUAGUGCUGCAGCUAACGCAUUAAGCACUCCGCCUGGGGAGUACGGCCGCAAAGGCUG
RNAcentral lists this ribosomal RNA (374 nucleotides) under uncultured organism. RNAcentral describes it as "partial 16S ribosomal RNA". It matches the Rfam family "Bacterial small subunit ribosomal RNA", at positions 527 to 896 of the family's 1533-position model. The record is from RNAcentral.